CCUUGAGGAAAGUGGGGAAGAGAUGCUGCCUAGGAGAUAAUCAGACAAGAGAGGCACCUGGCUUCCAAAAUUGUAAAUGUGCUCAUUCUCAGAUGGUUGUGAUGCCCACGGAGUUCUGAAAAUAGAGAAAACAGCUCAAUCUCAAGUUUGAAAGGACUGGGAUGGAGAAAGACUGGUGUCUGAAAGAGCAGUAGCUCAUUCUGUGAGAGGUCUAAGUCUGGAAAAAGAAUUCAAGGAAUUCUCAGGAAAUCUUUUGGAUUCCAUUUCCAAAGCAGGCCAUCUUCACCUCCAUUUGCCUGUUUGAAGUCAACCUCCUCUUAUUCUACUUCAAAAAAUCUACCUCCCUCGUUUCAUACCCAGAGUCCUCUUGCUUCAUGCCUAAACUUCUCUCCUUCAAGCCUCACAGCAGG
Long non-coding RNA from Pantherophis guttatus, 410 nucleotides. RefSeq lists it as uncharacterized. NCBI's taxonomy places the organism in Eukaryota, Metazoa, Chordata, Lepidosauria, Squamata, Colubridae. The record is from RefSeq and is a predicted model, not a curated record.